UAAGACCUGUGAGAUACUAACUCACAUCUCAUGAAUGCAACUCAAACACUUUUAUUAAGCUAAAGCCUCU
This 70-nucleotide transfer RNA is filed under the name Anolis guafe. RNAcentral's name for it is "tRNA-Ala". Lineage: Eukaryota; Metazoa; Chordata; Lepidosauria; Squamata; Anolidae. The record is from RNAcentral.